RNAcentral lists this ribosomal RNA (253 nucleotides) under uncultured bacterium. RNAcentral's name for it is "partial 16S ribosomal RNA". It matches the Rfam family "Bacterial small subunit ribosomal RNA", at positions 524 to 776 of the family's 1533-position model. The record is from RNAcentral.
UACAGAGGGGGCAAGCGUUGUUCGGAAUUACUGGGCGUAAAGGGCGCGUAGGCGGCCUGCUAAGUCGAACGUGAAAUCCCUGGGCUCAACCCAGGAACUGCGUCCGAUACUGGUUGGCUUGAAUCCGGGAGAGGGACGUGGAAUUCCAGGUGUAGCGGUGAAAUGCGUAGAUAUCUGGAGGAACACCGGUGGCGAAGGCGGCAUCCUGGACCAACACUGACGCUGAGGAGCGAAAGCCAGGGGAGCAAACGGG